Molecule: long non-coding RNA, 279 nt
Filed under: Vigna radiata
Lineage: Eukaryota; Viridiplantae; Streptophyta; Magnoliopsida; Fabales; Fabaceae
Description: long non-coding RNA (VRAD_LNC015265)
Source: RNAcentral
CGACAAUGGUUUAAGUUUGAGGGAGUUUAUGACAAAAGGGAGCAUUGAGAAAAUAAUAACAUGAGUCAAAAAGAAAGAAAAAGAAGAAAGAAGAAGAAGAGAAAGAAAAAUGCAUUCAAUGAACAAGAGUUGGGAAAUAAGUUGAGAAGUGGUUUAUCAUAUUGUGAAGUGAAAAGAGAGACUAAUGCUACAUGAAGUAAAUUGUUUUCUCUCUUAGCUCAAGUUGCUUUGUUGUCUAGAAAAACCAAUUUUUCUUCUUAACCCAGUCACAAUACAAGC